RNAcentral lists this ribosomal RNA (210 nucleotides) under uncultured bacterium. Its description in RNAcentral is "partial 16S ribosomal RNA". It matches the Rfam family "Bacterial small subunit ribosomal RNA", at positions 1291 to 1500 of the family's 1533-position model. The record is from RNAcentral.
GUUCGGAUUGUAGGCUGCAACUCGCCUACAUGAAGUCGGAAUUGCUAGUAAUCGCGGAUCAGCAUGCCGCGGUGAAUACGUUCCCGGGCCUUGUACACACCGCCCGUCACACCAUGGGAGUCGGUAACACCCGAAGCCUGUAGUCUAACCGCAAGGGGGACGCAGUCGAAGGUGGGAUUGAUGACUGGGGUGAAGUCGUAACAAGGUACC